Molecule: ribosomal RNA, 414 nt
Filed under: uncultured bacterium
Lineage: Bacteria
Description: bacterial SSU rRNA
Rfam family: Bacterial small subunit ribosomal RNA
Source: RNAcentral
AACGAACGCUGGCGGCGUGCCUAAUACAUGCAAGUCGUGCGAGAAAGUUCCUUCGGGAGCGAGUAAAGCGGCGCACGGGUGAGUAACACGUAGGUAACCUGCCCCCCAGUCUGGAACAACUAGAGGAAACUCUAGCUAAUGCCGGAUGAGACCACGAUCCCUUCGGGGGUUGCGGCCAAAGAUGGCCUCUACUUGUAAGCUAUCGCUGAGGGAUGGGCCUGCGGGCCAUUAGCUUGUUGGUGAGGUAACGGCUCACCAAGGCUGUGAUGGCUAGCUGGUCUGAGAGGAUGACCAGCCACACUGGGACUGAGACACGGCCCAGACUCCUACGGGAGGCAGCAGUGGGAAUAUUGCGCAAUGGGCGAAAGCCUGACGCAGCGACGCCGCGUGGGUGAUGAAGGCCUCGGUCGGUAA